RNAcentral lists this long non-coding RNA (1036 nucleotides) under Vulpes vulpes (red fox). Its description in RNAcentral is "lncRNA (ENSVVUG00000004200.1)". The record is from RNAcentral. Lineage: Eukaryota; Metazoa; Chordata; Mammalia; Carnivora; Canidae.
GGAACCUGAGACUCAGAAAGGCUAAGCAACUUGGUUAAGACCACACAGCUUGGAUUUUCAUCCUGUAUUAUCUGACCUCAGAGUCCUUCUUGACCACUUGUGCUAAUCAUUAACAUUUGUACACUACUCAGGGCAGGUCUAAGUUUGGGGGGGGGACCUAAACUUGUACAAUUUGGCACCCUCCCUAAGGAAAAGAAAAAGGAGUUCUGGAGUACAGAAUUCGAUUGAGAACCUGGAGGGGGACUUGAACAUUAUAGUGUAUGAAUUGUUUCAUGUGAAGACUCAUUUCAUCCUCCUGUCCUCCCUGCAAGUCUCCAGGAGCCCUGAACUACACUGCUUGCUCCCUCACUUCUCACAGGAAGAUCGGAGUGCAGAUGGGCUGUGCACAGGCAGCUGGAGAAGAAACAUGGAGCAGAAUCGGCGUGCCUUGUGGAUUGAGUGCAGGCUCUCUUCGGCCCUCUCACCUUCAUCAAGUUACUUUCUUCCUCCAAAACUCGAUUUCUCCAUCUGUGCAAUGAAAGGGCUGGAUGUGAGUUCUCAUUAUUCCCUAGCUGGCAUCCCGUGUGUCCCAGGGCUCUGAAGAUUUGUUGAACUAAGUGGACCAAAUCUUUGCUAUUGAAUUAAGACUCAGGUCUCUAUCUCUGAUCCGCAAAUGCAAAUUACUGAGGAGGGAAGGAGGAGCAGUGAAGCAUGAAUGGGUUUAUCAGAUUUCCUUUCUCCUGUGACCUAGAUACCACAGGGCAGGCGCCCAGUCCCUAGCUCAGAAUCCGUCAGCCUCAAACAUUCACUGACACCCUACUACAUACAGGCACAGAGCUGAGGACCCCCAGGGGUGUCCAAGAUGAAGUGGGACAUUUUUCAGGGGAGGCCGAGCUCUCAUCUUGACCCCACAUUCGGAGAGCUCUCACAUGUAAACAACCUAAACAUGCACCGUGUUGUAUCUUAGGGCUGGUGCUUGUGGGGCAACGGGAGGGGGGCGCAGUGGGGGUGACACGCAGUCAUUCUCGAAUCUUCCAGCCUUUACAAUGACUUCUAG